This 500-nucleotide long non-coding RNA is filed under the name Struthio camelus australis. RNAcentral describes it as "lncRNA (ENSSCUG00000006547.1)". Lineage: Eukaryota; Metazoa; Chordata; Aves; Struthioniformes; Struthionidae. The record is from RNAcentral.
GAUGAUGGUCAAGAGCAAAAAGUUUCAGUACCAUACCGCAUCAUGGAAGCAAGCUGAAAUAAAAUGGGACUGAGAUGCAGACAAACAGAACUGAAGAGGGGCCCUGUCUGUGGAAGUCCGUGUCUCAUGCUGUCAUUGGAGUGCUAUGGCGAAAGAGCUUUCGAUAAGCUGCUGCACCUCUGCCCUUUUUGAUAGUCUGUGACAUUACACAGUGAGGUAAAAUGAAAGAAGAUUUUGCCUCUGUGUUCUGCAGAUUCAUCCUGUUUCAACGGACUUUACCUUAUAAGAAUUCAUCAGAACUGCGCAUUCAUCUGGCUUUGAUGUGGAACCGAAUGUCUCGCUCUUGCCUCAUACGACUCGUGGAUCAAGUGGCUCACUGUGUGAGAGGGAUGCCUAAUUCCUGGAUUCUGAUCGUGCUUACGUAUGGCAAAGUUACCUACCUUCUCAAACUUAUCAAGCAGAUGAGUGGAGAGCAGAGCAGGCGUGGCCUAACUUAUUGA